AAUAGAUACCCCGGUAGUCCAUGCUGUAAACGAUGAGAACUAGAUGUUAGGGGGCAUGACCUCUUAGUAUCGAAGCUAACGCGAUAAGUUCUCCGCCUGGGGAGUACGGCCGCAAGGUUAAAACUCAAAGAAAUUGACGGGGGCCCGCACAAGCGGUGGAGCAUGUGGUUUAAUUCGAUGCAACGCGAAGAACCUUACCUACCUUUGAAUCCACGGAACCUAGCAGAGAUGUUGGGGUGCCUUCGGGAACCGUGAGACAGGUGCUGCAUGGCUGUCGUCAGCUCGUGUCGUGAGAUGUUGGGUUAAGUCCCGUAACGAGCGCAACCCUUGUCCUUAGUUGCCAUCAGGUUAUGCUGGGCACUUUAAGGAGACUGCCGGUGAUAAACCGGAGGAAGGUGGGGAUGACGUCAAGUCCUCAUGGCCCUUACAGGUAGGGCUACACACGUGCUACAAUGGGCAGUACAGAGGGAAGCCAACCCGGCGAGGGGGAGCGAAUCUCAUAAAGCUGUUCGUAGUCCGGAUUGGAGUCUGCAACUCGACU
This 541-nucleotide ribosomal RNA is filed under the name uncultured bacterium. RNAcentral describes it as "bacterial SSU rRNA". It matches the Rfam family "Bacterial small subunit ribosomal RNA", at positions 777 to 1317 of the family's 1533-position model. The record is from RNAcentral.